RNAcentral lists this long non-coding RNA (200 nucleotides) under Elaeis guineensis (African oil palm). RNAcentral's name for it is "long non-coding RNA (EGUI_LNC070127)". Lineage: Eukaryota; Viridiplantae; Streptophyta; Magnoliopsida; Arecales; Arecaceae. The record is from RNAcentral.
CUAGAAAAGGAGUAGUCCUAUGCGAUUCACAAGACUGAGUUCAGAAAAUCUCUGGCUAGAGUAAGAGUGAAUAUUAGAAAAAAUUUAUUACAAAAUUUAUAGAUGAACUCGAGUCAAGCUAAUCUAGCAUAUGACUGACGAUAGGGUUCGACGAGUUCUCCAUGACCUCCGUCUAGUCGGGACUCACGAUAGAGAGAUUG